This is a non-coding RNA of Picea glauca (white spruce), 123 nucleotides long. The record is from Rfam. NCBI's taxonomy places the organism in Eukaryota, Viridiplantae, Streptophyta, Pinopsida, Pinales, Pinaceae.
AUGUACAUUCCUAUAGCAUAGCGUUAAUUCACCAGAUCCCAUUAGAAAUUUGUAGUUAAGCACGCUCAGGCUAGAGUAGUACUGGGAUGGAUGACCUCCCAGGAAGUCCUAGUGUUUUACAUG